UAGUCUCUGAACCGGUUCAUACCAAAUAGAGGAAACCCUAAAUCCCUCAUUUCUUUCUCCGUUCACGCUAAAACAUGGAAACAAACCUCACUCUCAAAAGCCAAACACAUAAACGCAGCAAAAUCAGCUCAAGAACAAUAAACCCUAAUCCCAAUCAAUCCCUAAUCCAUUAUGAUUCAUGAGAUAAUUACAUCAGAUUACAUGAGAAAACAACGAUAAAUGCCAGAAAAGAAAGAACUUGGUGAAGACUACCUCGUGUACGAUCUCGAUUUGAACCAUGUUGCAAGUUGGCAAGGGUGCAAGUUGGAGUUACUUAGCUCAUGGAGAUAACUUGAAAAUUACUAUGCAAGAUGAAGUGGAUUGCUUGCAAGUUAGACUAGGAAUGUUGUUAUAAGUCUAUUUGACCUUGGUAGAAACAUAAAUUUUUUGCCAUGUAUUUAAGUAACUUGUAAUGGAUUCUUGAUGUUGAAAUAUAGCUUUAAUUUUUCAAGAA
Molecule: long non-coding RNA, 493 nt
Organism: Vicia villosa (hairy vetch)
Lineage: Eukaryota; Viridiplantae; Streptophyta; Magnoliopsida; Fabales; Fabaceae
Exons: 2
Source: RefSeq, a predicted model, not a curated record